RNAcentral lists this ribosomal RNA (292 nucleotides) under uncultured bacterium. RNAcentral's name for it is "partial 16S ribosomal RNA". It matches the Rfam family "Bacterial small subunit ribosomal RNA", at positions 505 to 796 of the family's 1533-position model. The record is from RNAcentral.
GUGCCAGCCGCCGCGGUAAUACGAAGGGUGCAAGCGUUAGUCGGAAUUACUGGGCGUAAAGCGUGCGUAGGUGGUUUCUUAAGUCGGAUGUGAAAGCCCUGGGCUCAACCUGGGAAUGGCACUCGAUACUGGGAAGCUAGAGUGCGGUAGAGGAGGGUGGAAUUCCCGGUGUAGCGGUGAAAUGCGUAGAGAUCGGGAGGAACAUCAGUGGCGAAGGCGACCCUCUGGACCAGCACUGACGCUGAGGCACGAAAGCGUGGGGAGCAAACAGGAUUAGAAACCCGGGUAGUCC